UUCUUCCCUUUUAUAUUUGCUAAAAGAAAGGUAACACUGUAACAGACUAACAUAGAACAUCUGGGCGUGUUUUUUGGCCUUUUUUUUCUCUACCAUGCCCAUGCCCUGAGUUUUCCAUUCAAUCUUGGUUUUUGGCUUUCUCUACUCACAAGAGAUUGGAUGCUCUAAUUUUGUGGUUUAUGGCUUGGUGCUGUUCAAUUCCACUCAGAUUUUAGUCAGUUUUUUCCUCCAACGUGGGGUCAAGGAUAUGAUGGAGCUAGCAAUAUGCGUGGAGAGUGGAAUGGCUUAAAAACUUUGAUUCUUCUAGAAUGUCCUUAUGCAUAUUAUGUACAUUGUUUGGCUCAUCAGUUACAACUAGCUCUCGUUGCUACAUCUAGCACUCUUAAGCAAGGGAUUUGUUCAAUAUUAUCUCAUCACAAUCUCAACAUUCAAAAUAUCAGGGGCCAAUGAUAUGAUGGAGCUAGCAAUAUGCGUAAGGAGUGGAAUGAUUUAAAAGCUUUGAUUCUUCAAGAAUGCCCUUAUGCAUAGUAUGUACAUUUUUUGGCUCAUCAAUUACAACUAGCUCUCGUUGCUUCAGCUAAAGAAGUAGUUAAUGUUCAUGGUUUUUUCCAAAACUUGGCUAUGAUUGUUAAUGUUGUGUCUUCUUCUUGUAAACGCAAUGAUGAGUUGCAAAAGGCUUAUGCAACUGAAAUUGCACAUUUAGUUGCAAGUGAUGCGAUUGAAACUAGAAGGGGGGGGGGGGGGGGC
Long non-coding RNA from Lotus japonicus, 747 nucleotides. RefSeq lists it as uncharacterized. Lineage: Eukaryota; Viridiplantae; Streptophyta; Magnoliopsida; Fabales; Fabaceae. The transcript is spliced from 3 exons. The record is from RefSeq and is a predicted model, not a curated record.